UCGAACGAUGAAGCCCUUCGGGGUGGAUUAGUGGCGAACGGGUGAGUAACACGUGGGCAAUCUGCCCUGCACUCUGGGACAAGCCCUGGAAACGGGGUCUAAUACCGGAUAUGACCGUCUUGGGCAUCCUUGAUGGUGUAAAGCUCCGGCGGUGCAGGAUGAGCCCGCGGCCUAUCAGCUUGUUGGUGAGGUAAUGGCUCACCAAGGCGACGACGGGUAGCCGGCCUGAGAGGGCGACCGGCCACACUGGGACUGAGACACGGCCCAGACUCCUACGGGAGGCAGCAGUGGGGAAUAUUGCACAAUGGGCGAAAGCCUGAUGCAGCGACGCCGCGUGAGGGAUGACGGCCUUCGGGUUGUAAACCUCUUUCAGCAGGGAAGAAGCGAGAGUGACGGUACCUGCAGAAGAAGCGCCGGCUAACUACGUGCCAGCAGCCGGGGGUUAAUUCCA
RNAcentral lists this ribosomal RNA (451 nucleotides) under Streptomyces sp. HVYN-10-3. RNAcentral describes it as "bacterial SSU rRNA". It matches the Rfam family "Bacterial small subunit ribosomal RNA", at positions 62 to 528 of the family's 1533-position model. Lineage: Bacteria; Bacillati; Actinomycetota; Actinomycetes; Kitasatosporales; Streptomycetaceae. The record is from RNAcentral.